UGGUGAAUUUUGGACAAUGGGGGAAACCCUGAUCCAGCCAUCCCGCGUGUGCGAUGAAGGCCUUCGGGUUGUAAAGCACUUUUGGCAGGAAAGAAACGUCAUGGGUUAAUACCCCGUGAAACUGACGGUACCUGCAGAAUAAGCACCGGCUAACUACGUGCCAGCAGCCGCGGUAAUACGUAGGGUGCAAGCGUUAAUCGGAAUUACUGGGCGUAAAGCGUGCGCAGGCGGUUCGGAAAGAAAGAUGUGAAAUCCCAGAGCUCAACUUUGGAACUGCAUUUUUAACUACCGGGCUAGAGUGUGUCAGAGGGAGGUGGAAUUCCGCGUGUAGCAGUGAAAUGCGUAGAUAUGCGGAGGAACACCGAUGGCGAAGGCAGCCUCCUGGGAUAACACUGACGCUCAUGCACGAAAGCGUGGGGAGCAAAC
This 426-nucleotide ribosomal RNA is filed under the name Acidobacteriota bacterium. Its description in RNAcentral is "Acidobacteria bacterium partial 16S ribosomal RNA". It matches the Rfam family "Bacterial small subunit ribosomal RNA", at positions 355 to 773 of the family's 1533-position model. The record is from RNAcentral. Lineage: Bacteria; Pseudomonadati; Acidobacteriota.